Molecule: ribosomal RNA, 287 nt
Filed under: Hydroporus sanfilippoi
Lineage: Eukaryota; Metazoa; Arthropoda; Insecta; Coleoptera; Dytiscidae
Description: partial 18S ribosomal RNA
Rfam family: Eukaryotic small subunit ribosomal RNA
Source: RNAcentral
CUGAGUACAAGCCACAUUAAGGUGAAACCGCGAAAGGCUCAUUAAAUCAGUUAUGGUUCCUUAGAUCGUACCCACACUUACUUGGAUAACUGUGGUAAUUCUAGAGCUAAUACAUGCAAACAGAGCUCCGACCGGAGACGGGAGGAGUGCUUUUAUUAGAUCAAAACCAAUCGGCGGCGGGCGCGUUCGCGCGUCCGUUCGCCGCUCAACCUGGUGACUCUGAAUAACUUUCGGCUGAUCGCACGGUCUCGCACCGGCNACGCAUCUUUCAAAUGUCUGCCUUAUCA